Long non-coding RNA from Mesocricetus auratus (golden hamster), 2923 nucleotides. RefSeq lists it as uncharacterized. The transcript is spliced from 4 exons. The record is from RefSeq and is a predicted model, not a curated record. Lineage: Eukaryota; Metazoa; Chordata; Mammalia; Rodentia; Cricetidae.
GAGAAGUCUGGCUGUGCUGGAUCCGAUUUGAGCAGGCAGGACCCAGCAGGUGGGGCGCUCUAGCUCCGUUUCCGGGGAGACGCUUCACCUGCCUAACCUGCAUCCAGAUGAUUCCAUCCAUACCUUCAGGAAUGAGCUCAAAUGUCACCGUCAGCUGUUAAAAUCCAUUCCCAGGGGAAGAUAUAAGCUAUGUCUGCCCCUUCUCCUGAGGUCUCAAUGAUUUGAUUCCACUAAAGUUCACUCCGGGAACCAAUGAGUUUAUUGGGAUUACUUCCAGAGCAUAGAUGAUGGGAUGAAAGAGGUCGAUGGGACUCACGUAGAAGUCUGGCUUGGUGACCGACACAUGGUGCUUCAGACUGUGGCUGCAAAUGGCUCACCCCAGGUCACUUGUUGUGCACUUCAAAAUCCACAUCUGAGUCGACGAGGGAAGGGAGUCGAACCCCGGCAAUGGUGUGGAAGCCCGGGACCUGCUCCUGCUCUUGGAUCUGGUCUCUGAGGCGGCGGAUUUCCAGGCGCUGCAUUUCAAUGAUUCGCCCGGUUUCCUCCUGUUCAUUCAGUCGCAUAGUAGGACUGAUGCUGGCCAUGUCCUUGCUGAGCACUGUAAGGGACAAAGCAAGGUCACUGUGGCCUGUUACUAACUAACUACUGCAGUCUCCAUCCCCUCCAAACACCCACAGAGCCUCCACACUGGGAGAAAUAAACAGACUGUGCCAUGUGGUAUCAACCCUUCAUCCUCCUGCUGCUGGUUGUUUCCUCGGUGAUGUGACCUCCUCAUCAGCUCCUGUCUCCAGCCAGGUUCCUCUCAGUAGCCUUCACAUACAGCUACUUAACCAGUCACUGGUUUCCCCUGGGAUGGAGGUGCCUGUGAAGCCACGGUCCUGGUGUCUGUCUGAGAGAUUCAGUGCCGAGAUUCUCUUCUGGCCACGCGAGCACACCCUUCCCAGAGUGCCUCACAGUUGUUCCAAACUGUGGCUUUAAGGCCGGCCAGGAUGUUCAAGCACUGAGUGAGGUCACUGGACCUCCGAGGUGGGCAGCGGCUCUCCACAGAGGAAGGGCCACCAGAACCACAGCUACGGGUUGGAGGCUGACCUAGAGCAGUCACCUUCACAAAUGUACCCGACUUGCCACAUACUGUCCCAUGAGUGUUCCUAGGUUCAACUGGUGGAAGAUGGCCCAGUGGACAGCCUGUAGGGCUUCUGUUAUGGCUCCUGCUCUGUCUCCCACUCUGGCUUGUGAGUAUCUCUAGGGCCUGGGUUGUGCUUUUCCUGCCUCUUCCCAGCACUGGUCUCUUUCUCUCCUUUCUGACAGCCAAUGUUCACCACACUGUGGUUCGGUCUUACAGGGCCCCUUCUUUGGUGUAUAAACCCUGCUUCUUCCACAGCUAUUGGGAAGAGAGCUCUCGCUUAAGGCUCCACCCACCUUCGCCCCCCCCCACAUGCCCCGUCUCUGUCACCUUCCAGACCUGGCUUCCUUCCAUAGACAGAUAAAUUUAUCUGAACAAUUAGCUUCUUAUUGUCACCCCUGUGGUUAUCUACAGUGCUGUGGAGUGAGCCCAGGGGCCAUGUACAUACAGCAGUUUCACCACAGAGCUACAUUCUCAGCCCCAAAUCCAACUUCAAAGGAUGGGAAACAAGAAAGUGGUCAGGGAUACAGUUGGGCGUACCUCAACCUCCUUUCUAGACUCUGUAUCACGUUUCUUUUCUUGAACUGUUUUUUCAAAUUCGGUCUAUUUCCCCUUUAUUGGUUUGGAAGAUUUCCUCUUUCCUUCUCCCCUGCUCUCCUAUCACCGCAAAAGUUUAAUAUGCUUAUAGAACACAAAGACUGCAGAGUAGGGAUGGCUGAGUGAGACCCACGUGAAGCACAAUAUAAUUGUGUGUGUGUGUGUGCUCGUGCGUGUGUUUGUGUGUGUGUGUGUGUGUGUGUGUGUGUGUGUGUGCAGUCUCAGAACUACAGGGAGAUGGGAUUAGAGACAGUAGAGGCCCUGAGAUCACACACAUUGUGUGGUGGGGGAACAUGUCACCCUGUCUCACACAAAGAAGAUGAGAACUGAUAAUUGACUUGUCCUCUCACCCUGCUGUCUACAUGUACUCUGUGGUGCCUGUUCAGCUGUAGUCACAGACAUGCAAAAGGAGACCUGGGAUGGUUCAGUUCCACAUCCCCUGGCUUGGACGCUUCUGCCCCAUGUCUCAGGUCUUCUGAGGUUGGCUAUUUGGAUCCACAAUUCAGCUGCUGUGUUCCCCAUGUUAGAUCAUUACAGAUGCCUCGGAGUCUACAUUCUGCAUUCGUUCCUUGGUGACUCGUAGCGAGGAGAUAGCCUCCAAGCUUCAGCGCUCUGAAAGGACUGCAUCACCAUUUCUGGCACUCACUGUUGCCACUGGGAAGUCACCUGUCACCUGGCACUGUUGCUCCUGUGUCCUAUCCCUUCUCCCCGACUGCACUGCAUUCCUUGUCUUGGUGCUCUGUGGUUUUGACGUAGGGUUAACUAUUAAUUAACCUCUCGGGGACCACUGGGAUUCCUGGAGCUGGUGGUCGCCAUCUCCCACUGAUUCUGAAAAACUCCGUUACUCCUUGAGGUGACACCCAUCUUCUGAGGACUCAGUGUAGACAGCUGCCGCCUUAUUCCAUUCCAUCCCUGGCUCUCAGUGUAUGUUGUCCCUCUGGGCUGAAUCCAAGCCACCAUAUUCAUUCUUUUAGUUCACAUAUACUCCCUUCAAAUGGGUGUAUCUACCAUAUGGCUCAACUUGUUCAUUAAGUUUCUAAUUAUAAUAAUUACAGUUCUCAUUUCUACUAGUUAAUUGUCGUUUUUAAGUAUAAUUUGUAAAAUUUUAGAAUACUCUUGCUUUGGGCUAGAGAGAUGGCUCAGCUGUUAAAGGCUAGGCUCACAACCAAAAAUAUAAGAAUACUCUUGCUUAAAAAAAUUUCA